AUUGAACGCUGGCGGCAGGCCUAACACAUGCAAGUCGAGCGGAUGAAGGGAGCUUGCUCCUGGAUUCAGCGUCGGACGGGUGAGUAAUGCCUAGGAAUCUGCCUGGUAGUGGGGGAUAACGUCCGGAAACGGGCGCUAAUACCGCAUACGUCCUGAGGGAGAAAGUGGGGGAUCUUCGGACCUCACGCUAUCAGAUGAGCCUAGGUCGGAUUAGCUAGUUGGUGGGGUAAAGGCCUACCGAGGCGACGAUCCGUAACUGGUCUGAGAGGAUGAUCAGUCACACUGGAACUGAGACACGGUCCAGACUCCUACGGGAGGCAGCAGUGGGGAAUAUUGGACAAUGGGCGAAAGCCUGAUCCAGCCAUGCCGCGUGUGUGAAGAAGGUCUUCGGAUUGUAAAGCACUUUAAGUUGGGAGGAAGGGCAGUACGUUAGUACCUUGCUGUUUUGACGUUACCAACAGAAUAAGCACCGGCUAACUUCGUG
RNAcentral lists this ribosomal RNA (484 nucleotides) under uncultured bacterium. RNAcentral's name for it is "partial 16S ribosomal RNA". It matches the Rfam family "Bacterial small subunit ribosomal RNA", at positions 30 to 507 of the family's 1533-position model. The record is from RNAcentral.